This 12505-nucleotide long non-coding RNA is filed under the name Triticum aestivum (bread wheat). RNAcentral's name for it is "long non-coding RNA (TAES_LNC022155)". Lineage: Eukaryota; Viridiplantae; Streptophyta; Magnoliopsida; Poales; Poaceae. The record is from RNAcentral.
UUAUCCAGUGGGAGUGAUGGGACUGCCGAGUUAAAUAUGGCUGGUCUAUUUUCAGUGAGGAUGAGAUGGCGGUUUCAUACAUCUGUUUUGCAUCAUGUCUUCAGUGGAUGUUGUAUUAGGUAAAUGACUGAUGUAUGUUGGUGAAGAAGCAUGAAUAUGUGGUGGGAAAUGAAUGACUUUCUUUCUUACCUGCCUCACUACAGAUAUUUUACAUCCUUCAUCUGUCAAUGCAGACGCACCGUAAAAUUAAUGCUGAUUCAUGUCAUCGCUGUUACCUCAUAUUGAUGAUAUAUAGAAGUUUGACUUAAAAAAUACACCAUAUAAUUUGGACCGGGGAGAGUAGUUAUUUUAUAUACACAAUGUUCUAUAUAUGGAUAUCGGUAGUUCUAUAAUCAUUAAAAAAUGCCUAAUCAUGAAAUAUUUUCAUGCGAAACUAAUUAUGUUAUUUUUUUUAUCUUAACAGUCAGUUUAUAUGUCGAUAGUCAAAGUUAGAGAAGUAUGAUUGUACGUUUUUAGAACAUUAUUUGAUAGAUAUGUAAAAUUUACCACAUGUCUUUACCUUGACCAUUGCAAGUAAUGAACACCAAAAUUUUCCCUAGCUGGACAACUCACUCCUUAGCAGCGGCGUAGAGGAAAAGUAAAUCACAUAUUAUAGAGCAUAGAAAGUAGAAAAAGAAAUCAGGUUAUUGUCCGUGUAAGAAUAAUUACAACUUUUUACCGUAAUUACAGCAAAAUCAGCAAAAUCAGGUUGUCUGCGGUGGAUGCAUCCGCCUGCAAUACUACAUUUCUAUCUCUCCCCAAACCACUUCCCAAAACUUAACUCCUUCAAUCAUAAAUUUUUAGCACAGUUAAAAACCACUCCCCAAACCUUAAUUUUGCACAACUGUCAGCAUUCAAACAUGAUAUGAACUUAACAAAUUGAUUAAAUAUCACAAUAGUGCACAAUUAAACAUCACAUAAUUGAACUAAACAUGGUGGAACUAACAUAAGCUACAACUUGAUUAACUUAAAUUACAUCUUAGCUAGCCUAAUUUAAGCUAAUUGUCAGAGGGGGAGAUGGCAAUGGGCUCCUUCCCCUUGUCGGAGCCUGAUGCCCGACGUCAUGCGUGCCCUUUGGUGUGGCCUCAUCGGCGAAGGGGUUUGAGCCACCGGCAUAUUGAGAUGUCUUGAACUCUGCUCAGUCCCGUUACUUGGCCGCACAUGUGGCUAGGAUGGUGAUGAUAGUCGCAUGGCUUUGGAAGAGGCCUCCGAUCGCGAGGUGCUCCUCGAGGACCUCGGAGUCAGUCCACAUGGCGGGGGGCCAUAACCUCAUCUCCUCAUGAGGCCAUUUACGCCUCGUCGACUAUGUGCUCGUCGAGCACCUCCUCCUCCGCGUGGAGUUCCCGCUCGUCCUCUUCCCAUGGUUCGAGAUCCAUGGAGUAGGGCGUUGUCAAGGUCAAAGGAGUGCGUCAGCGACGGGAGAACCGCAAUUGCUGCACAGAGGACGAUGAGGAUGCGGGAUACAACCCCACACACCACCAUGGAAUCGUCGCCGGCACAGUGACCUUGCAGUGACCAUCACACGAAAUGGUAAGAAAUAUAAAAUACGAGCCUGUUUUAUAGCAUGAGUAAUUAAUCGUUAUUGUUGCAUAGAACUAGGUAAUUUUGCAUAUGCAUUGCACCGAGAGCAUAAUUUGUUCUCCCUCCAUUCCACAACGUAGUGUGCCCGCAGUUCUCGAGAUCCAAGUUUGACCGUAAAUUUAACCAACAAGACCGACUGCGGCUGGAGCAAUACCACUGUUUUAUGGAGUACUAAGGAGCGAGUUGUCCGGCUAGGAAAAAUUUGCAUAGUCUUUGUCUGUGUGUUUCAUCUGUGUUUUUUCUUUUAGUAUGUACUGCACACGACUGUGAUAUACUCCCUCCGUUCCAAAAAAGAUGACCCAACUUUGUAUUAAAGUUAGUAUAAAGUUGAGUCAUCUAUUUUGAAACGGAGGGAGUAUAUGCUGUCCCUAAUUUCCAGUCCGGGUUACGUGGAGCCCCAAUCAACCACAACCACCACAAAUGUAAGAAAAAAGCUCAGAAGCGUCCAGGCUCCACAUCAACAAUAACCAACAUGCUUCCAUUUUCAGCAUCUCAAAAUAAGCGCACGGGGGUGUUUCCUGACCACAGCCCCUGAACUUGACUUGCAUCAGCCGUUCGCCGGUGAAUGGUGACCUAACACCUGCCGUACCACACCACGACGACCAUGCGCCAGCGACCUGACAUGGCGGUACGGCGACGGACGCUCCUACGCGAACGCGUGCGGGCGCAAUCCGUCAACUCUGACUGAUGUAUGGCGUCUUCAGGAGAUCAGCCGGAUCGACCUAGAUAGUUGCAGCUGAGCUGCCGAACCGACCAAUCGCCGAAUCAUCCCCAAAACAGUUGCGUACAGGCUCGCUGUGUAGCCAUAUCUGUUCAGGUUAGAGAUUGAAAUGUAUCUUCCCGACGUUGCACUUUUUCCUCUAGGGUUUCCUAGAGUCCACUUUUUCCUCCGGCGGCGCCGCCGGAGUCCAUCCACCAAAUUCCAGUGUCAACCUGUGCGAUCUAUUCCGACGAAUCGCGAGGGCUAACCCUGGUGAACUGCGAGACGGUGUUGCAUGGCGGAUCUGGUCGCCCAGGGGGGCGCGGGCGGAAAGAAGGGAGUCCAAGGAGGCUUAGGGUUUGGCGCUGAUAAGGACGUUGCGGGAGAUAGGAGAAGGGAGAUUGGGGCAACCUCUGGUACGACCGAGGAUGUAACCAAAGAGAGGGAGGAGGCCGAGAGGGGGGAUACAGAUCGGGAAGAAGCGAUUGAUCGGGAGGAGAUUGAUCAUGGAUGAGAUCAGAUUGGGCCAGAACCUGAGCUGGAAGGCACCUUUGAAGGCUUGAAGCUCCAUGGGGAGGAAGAGGAGGACCUGGAUCUGUCGGGGGAGGUAGAGGAGCUGAUCAAGGAUGUUCGCUGGUUGUGUUUGUUCCAGGUACACACCAUGAGGCCAUUUAGCCACGCGGCGCUGCUGAACUCAAUGAGGAACGCUUGGGCUUGCGCCCAGGGAGUAACUUUCAACAUCAAAGGGCCAAAUCUGUUCUUGGCUCAGUGUCAUUGCUUGGGGGAUUGGAAGCAUGUCAUGGAGGGAGGCCCCUGGCAAUUCAGACGAGAUCCGGUGGUUAUUGUGGAGUAUGAUGGUUUCACAAACGUCUCUGAGUAUGCUCUGGAUAUGUAUCCCCUAUGGGUAAGGAUCAAGGAUUUACCGGAUGGGCUCACAAGGAAAAGGGAGCUAGCGGAGAAAAUUGCAAAGAAGGUGGGAGAGCCGCCGUUCACGGUGGUUGUGAAUGAAGGAAGAAUUAACCCCUCUAGUCACUUAAGAGUAAGGGUGUUUAUGAAUGUCCAGAAGCCAUUGGUGCGAUUUGUCAGUAUUACUCUCAAGGAGACGAAAAGGUAUCCUGUUACAUAUGAGAAGCUGCCGGAUUUUUGCUUUUUCUGUGGCUGUAUGGGGCAUGUGGUGGAAGAGUGCGGAGACGGGAUUCACGAUCCUUCCGAGUGUGAUUGGGGAGACUGGUUGCAUUGGAGUAGUGAGACGGCUAUGGCAGGAGGUGGUGUAGGGCGUGGUAGAGGAGGAGCGUCUGAAAGUUUUGGCGGGGGAAGAGGGAGACGGGCUGGUAGAGGAGGAGGUAGAGGAGUAGGAAAUUCAGGGGGAAGGGGGGAUGCAGAAAGCAAACCAGCUGGGGGAGUAGAUGCUGUUGGACAGAAUUCGAGUGGCGGGGUGCUUGCGGUUCCAAGAGCCCAUAAUCUUGGUGAGGACGAUCCCAUGACUGCUCGCAAAAGGCUUAUGGGGGCAGAUGGAGUCGUGAUGGUUCGUGGUCAACCAGUGCCGAACCUUGCUGGCAAAGUACCAAACACGGUUCUCAUGUUGGAGAGCGGUAGUGGGUCUGGGGCAAAUGUGGUGCCGGCCCCAUCGUCUACACCUGGCAAGUUACCAGUUGUGAAAAGAAGGAAGCAAGGUGAGGAGAGGGAGGAUGUUGAUAUGACAAAAGAGGCGGCCUCCUUCGAGGAGGACCGCUGGGCCCAAUGAAUAUCCUUAGUUGGAACUGCCGGGGAGGGGGGAAUCCCGGACAGUUCGUGAGCUGGCGACUAUCUGUCAGUCGCAUUCCCCUAGAAUGGUGUUUUUGUGUGAAACAAGACAGAGAGCUGAUAAAAUGAAGAAGGUGCGAGGGAGGAUUGGAUUGAAGGGUUAUGCAGGAGUUGAUAGUAAUGGUAUGAGUGGUGGUCUUGCGUUGUAUUGGCAUGAGAGUUACGAAGUGGAAAUUGUGGACAACACUACAAGAAAUAUGUUAAUACGUGACAGUACUAAUCCAUCAUGAAUGAGUGAAAAACUGUCAUGGGUGCCCGUCCAUGACGGAUUUGAAGUCCAUCAUGUAUAUCACGUCAUAAUUUGACACGGUUCUUGUCCGUCAUGGAUCCACCCCAGGCCCGCCCAAGCCCAAUCCAUUAUGACAAAACAAGCCGUCAUGGACUAACGCCAUGUAGGAUUUUUUAUCGACCAUUUCAAAUGACGUGGCUGCCCACGUGGAUACUAUUUUCCGUCACCAAAUUCGUCAUGGUUGAGCACAUUAUUCCACUUCUUUCAGCCCAAUUUUUACCCGAUACAUUUUUAGCAUAAUGAUAACAACAUUAAACCAUUCAACCAACUUUUGGAAACUGGUUAACAUUACACAGUACAACAUAGCAGUUUAUAAAAUCCUCUAAAAAUGAUAAAUUACAAUAUGAAUUGAUAAAAUAUAUCACAUCACGGUUAGGAAUGAGUACAAUGCAUUUUACAUCAACAGAACAUACAAACUAUCAAGGCUGUUACUUAGGUUCUUGUUGUCAGCCCUCCUGAUGGCAACCAUCAUGUCUUGGCUGAUUGUGAUGAGAAGCACCAAGUAGCCCACUUCCUAAUCUUAUCUGCAUAUUUACAAGAACCUUAGAUAUUUGUAGAUAUGAAUAGAUAGUAGAAAUAAUAUAAUUACAACAAAUAUAAAAAUGAAUUAAAUGUUGUCCAAAAUUCUUAAAUCUUAUAGUGCCUACGAAUGAGAAUAACAUUGCAUCUACUAUAAAACAAGAGUAAACAUAAGGUUUCUUAAAAUUAAACCAAAGAAAAGUGUGUCAAAUGACAAAGUAACAAAACACACAUCACAGAAUUAAGUACUAUAUUAUUGAGGUUGCUAUUCAUGUUCUUGUGAACAAAUAAUCUAUGAUGCAACCGUAAUCUAUAUUUACAUGGUUACAGCAAAUAGACUAGCAGCAAUUUGUGAGCACAGGUCUCGGUUACAUGUGCAACUCUGGCAUAAACAUGCAUAAACAUACAGCUUGACAUUUUUUUCUUUCUUAAUAUACAAGGCGAAGCUUUUGCCUCUUUCGGAAAUAAUGUGAAUCACACGUCUGGAGUAACAACAUCCUAAUUGGUCUCAUAUUCAGCUAAACAGAACAGGUGGACACGAGUAGAUAAAACUAGCUAAAAAAUAUUAGCAGAGAUACUCUAAGCAGAGCCAUAAGUAUACCAAGAGAUGAUAUAUGCUUAAGCUAGAUAUAUCCUUUAUACUUAUGAAAUCUGUAACUCAUACAAGUAUAUAGCAUGCUCAGAACAAUGUAUUCUGUUCUUGAGCUUCCAGCGUUAAAACAUGCAGAUAUUUCAAACUAAAAUAUUAGCUAUACUGUGUUGAAAUUGCUGUUUCAUAUUGCUGCUAAAGAACAAGUCAGGCAAUGACAAAAGAGUUUGGAAUAUGUAUUUACCUCCUGUAUUCACCAUGGAUCGUCGUUGCGGGGAAACCCGCUGUUGUAUAGCCAAUAUCUCAAUGAAUCGGCUUCUUGUUUUGUCUCCACGAAAACCAAUGUUAAGAGGCUGUUCAGGCUAGACAAACCAGAAAACUAGCAUCAGAAAAAUCUUAUAGAAUAAUUGUAAAUAAACCCAAUUGCUACAAUCCAAGAUGGCAGCAAAUAAUACCUUGUUGGUGAGUACGACAAGGUGCGAUGAACAAAAUAUGUAACAAUUGCUGCAACAAAUGAUGGUAGUAAGUACAUUUCACGGAUCUGACACUAAACUUGUAUGUAAUUAGUGCGAGAGCGAGAGUAGGCGAGGACUGAUCAACCAAAUAAUGAUAACUCAUAGAAAGUUUGCACAAAAUAUAUAACAGAUAAGCAGUGUAAUAGCAGCUUCAUCCAACUAGAAGUGUAGUAGCAACAACAACUACUACAGCAAUAGGAAUCUCCAUCCAAUUAAAAGAGCAACAGCAACAGGGGAACAUCAGCAUAGCUGCAGAAGGCGUACAUGUCACCUCUCCGCUUCAAGCAGAAGCGUUGGCUCUUCUAGCAGCUACAGAGUGCUGCUGCAAUCACCACAGGCGAGAUUACCUUCAUUACAGAUGAUCACGUUGUAGCAAAGGUUGCUGCUGCCUACAGGGAUUGGCCAAAUAAACCUGGACCAUAGGAGAUAAGAAACUAUUUAGCUGCCAUCUUCUCAAUCAUUAGCCAUUCUCAGGUUAAGGUCACUCAUAUCCCUAGGAAUUUCAAUAGCAGGGCACAUAGGUCUUAACAAUCUCACUCUUGGUCAAUCAAUUGAGUGAGCUUAAUAAAUUAUUUUAUUCCAACAAAUCCAAGGAACCAACAGGAGCAUCUCAUGGGCAUUUAAUUAUCAGUUUUGCUAGAACUCAUCUAGAUGAGAUAUAAUUUGGUCUCAUUCACCUUUUAUAGCCAUUGGAUGUGAUGCUAUAAGAUGCGUGUGUGCUGAUGUGGGUUGUAUUUGUUCUUGUUUUCAAAGUGAAUGAGACCAAAUUAUAUCUCAUCUAGAUGAGUUCUAGGUACUCCCUUUAAUUAUUAAAAUUAGCAGUUGCUUAACUAACUAGCAGAUUUCACAAAUUCUACACUGCUAGUGCUAGCACGGUGAGAGAAGAAAAUGGAAAUAGGCAGCAGAAUUAGUCAAUCGUUGGCUGUAACUUACGAGUAUCAGCAAAACAAAGUGGCGACAUUUUCUGCAGCAGGUUCAGUCCAAUAAAAUUGGAUAGCCCAAGGAGAACUACGCUAGAGCAGGGCAGCAAUCACUUGGAAAGAAAAUAAAAACAGGGCCAGAGGAUCGACCUUCAUGUUCUCCGGGGAAUCAUGGUGGUCGGGGAGGAGGACCUCGCCAUCGAGUUGUCCCGGUCGUCGGGCUCGAGCGUGGGUCCCGGUCGUCGCCGUCCAUCGAACUAGAGAGGCAGAGAGUUCCUCCUGAACUGAAUCGAAGCAAAAAAAAAAACUUCGAUUGGGGAUGGGUAGUAAUGAAGGAGAUAGGAGAAGAUGGAGGAAGCAGGGAGGGACCAUGUGCGAGGCGUCGCCGUCGCCGGCGAGGUCGAGGUCGACCCUCCCACAGGUCACGGUGGUCGUCCUCUCCUCGUCCAGCGAUUGCUGCUCCAAAUCUCCGGAUGGCAAGGCAGCUGCGCGGCUUGCGAGAUGAAGGAGGAAGGCAUCUGCCGCAGAUCCAUGGCCCAGGUCGUUGGAUGCGAGAAGCAGAGGCGCGCCACCGCGGCUAGGGUUGUCCGCCGCUUCCAUCGGGCCGCUGCAACUGUUGUCGCUAUGGAUCUCAUGCCGUCAUCAUCGCUUGGAGGCGAAGGACGGGGUCGAGGAGAGAUGAGGCGUGGUGGCGGCGGAUGAAGAAACAGGUCGGAACAAGAGUAUCUUAGGGUUAGCUUUUAUACGGGGAAAGAUUUAGGGCUUUUGGCGGGCUUCGGUGGGCUUGCGGGUCUCUCCUAUGCAGUUCAUCACGAAUUUUGAAAUUGUCGCCGGAAAUCCGUCAUGUAUUAACAGGUUUCUUGUAGUGCAAAGAUGAACAUUUUAUUGAUGCACUAGUUCGUGUCCAGGAAGGGGCAACCCAAUGGAGGAUUACAUGUGUAUAUGGUGAACCACAAGUUGAAAACAGGCAUCUUAUGUGGGCUAAACUCGAGCAUCUAAAAGUUGCGAAUGAUCUACCGUGGCUUGUUGUGGGUGAUUUCAAUGAAGCCAUGUGGGGCUUUGAGCAUCUUUCAGUAACACCACGGGGAGAGCCACAAAUGGUCGCCUUCCGUGAUACUUUGGAGAUCUGUGGCUUGGUUGACCUAGGCUUUGUUGGGGUUCCCUUUACAUAUGAUAAUAAGAGGGGUGGAGGUGGCAAUGUGAAGGUGAGACUGGAUAGGGCAGUGGCGACUAACGCAUGGAGAAAUUUGUUUGCUUAUGCUUCGGUUUUACAUGUGCCCUCGCCUUGCUCGGAUCAUGUGGCACUUGUUCUUAAGGGGUCGGUCGAUUGGGGGCCGAAUGGAGGGAAGCAUAGGAGAUAUGAGCUGUUCUGGGAGAGAGACGGAUCUUUACUGGAGGUGAUCAAGGAGGCUUGGGAAGCAGCGGGAGGCGUGUACAAUAUGGCACAGCUGAGAGACGCACUUACGAAAACAAUGACAGCCCUUCGACUUUGGAGCAAAAAAUUUGGUAAUGUUACUCGAGAGCUCGCCAAAUCGCGGACCCAGUUAGAGGAGUUGAUGAACAUGAAUGCUGAUCGCCAGGAUAUUGUACAGGUGACGGAUAAGAUGAAUGAGCUUCUGUAUCAAGAGGAGAUGCUUUGGUUGCAACGAUCGCGUAUCACGUGGUUGAAGGAAGGGGAUAGAAACACUAAAUAUUUUCACAAUAAGGCAGUUUGGAGGGCGAGGAAGAACAAGAUCCGUGAACUAACGGACAGCGUUGGCAAGGUUGUCAGAAUCGCGAUUCUGUUAUACGAUUCUACGACUUUAUGAUCCAAACUAGCCCCUAUGAUUCUACGACUUUAGUUCUUAGAAUCUACGUUUCUACGAUCCUAACAGUGAAGAUUCUACGAUUUGCGAUCCUACUAUCGAAGCUCCGAUCCGAUUCAAAAUCGCGAUUCUGACAACCUUGAGCGUCGGUGUAAUUCAUUCCGACCUUGUUGGCAUGUGGGAAUUAGCCAAUAUGUAUUUCCAUGAUAUUUUUACAGCUGACCCGACGCUUAAUGCUGCGCCUAUUUUGGACUUAAUUAACCAGGUGGUAACAGAAGAGGACAAUGCCAAGUUGUGUGUGCCGUUUACAGAGAAAGAGAUUCCGGAUGCUUUGUUUCAGAUCGGGCCACUAAAAUCUCCGGGUCCGGAUGGCUUUCCGGCGAGAUUCUUUCAGCGGAAUUGAAGUACUCUCAAGGAGGGUGUGCUGGCAGCGGUGAGGGAUUUUUUCAGUACUGGAAUCAUGUUGGAGGGGGUGAAUUCAACCUCGAUAGUUCUUAUUCCCAAGAUCCCUAACCCGGUGAGAAUCACAGACUACAGGCCUAUUAGUCUGUGUAACGUUAUUUAUAAGGUGAUUUCCAAGUGCCUCGUGAAUAGGAUGAGGCCUUUGUUGGAUGAUCUCAUAUCUCCCGAACAGAGUGCAUUCAUUCCUGGUAGGAUGAUCACUGACAACGCGCUUGUGGCGUUUGAAUGUAUCCAUCACAUGAAGCAGGAAAAGGAUCCACAAGAAGUUUUUGUGCGUACAAAUUGGACUUGUCAAAAGCUUAUGAUAGAGUUGAUUGGGUCUUCUUGAGGCAAAUGAUGCAAAAGUUGGGUUUCUCUCAGCGAUGGGUUGACUGGAUAAUGUCUUGUGUCACGUCGGUGAGAUACUCUGUCAAACUAAAUGGAACCCUCUUGGAUUCGUUUGCACCGACGCGUGGGCUUCGGCAAGGAGAUCCGUUAUCCCCGUUCCUUUUCUUGCUUGUGGCUGAUGGGCUAUCUGCUUUAUUGAGAAACAAAGUAGAAGUGGGCGAAAUCACUCUGGUUAAAGUGUCAAGACGAGGACCAGGUGUGUCGCAUUUAUUGUUUGCUGACGAUACGUUGUUGUUCUUUGAGGCAUCAGGAGAACAAGCGAGAGAGAUUAAAGUUGUGCUGGACAUAUAUGGGAGGGCGACAGGCCAAAGUUUAAACCCCGAGAAGUGUUCCAUUCUUCUUGGGGAUGCUUGCCCCGUUGCGAGGCAGGAGGAAGUACAGGCAGUGCUUCAGAUCACUAACUUGCACUUUGAGGAAAAGUACCUUGGCCUGCCGACUCCGGAGGGUCGGAUGUCUAAAGGCCGUUUUCAGAAUUUGCAGACUCGGUUAACCAAGCGAUUGCUACAAUGGGGAGAUGGCCUUUUGGCGCAACCGGGAAGAGAAGUGUUGAUUAAGUCAGUUGCUCAGGCCCUCCCUACAUACAUUAUGGGCGUCUUCAAGCUACCCUUUUCGGUUUGUGAUGAUCUUACGCGCAUGGUGCGGAAUUUUUAUUGGGGGUCGGCAAGGGGCAAGAGGAAAGUUCAUUGGAAGAAUUGGGACCAUNNNNNNNNNNNNNNNNNNNNNNNNNNNNNNNNNNNNNNNNNNNNNNNNNNNNNNNNNNNNNNNNNNNNNNNNNNNNNNNNNNNNNNNNNNNNNNNNNNNNNNNNNNNNNNNNNNNNNNNNNNNNNNNNNNNNNNNNNNNNNNNNNNNNNNNNNNNNNNNNNNNNNNNNNNNNNNNNNNNNNNNNNNNNNNNNNNNNNNNNNNNNNNNNNNNNNNNNNNNNNNNNNNNNNCAGGCCCUACUGGCUAGGCAGGCGUGGAGGUUAAUUACCAAACCGGACAGCCUUUGUGCUAGGGUUCUAAAAGCUCGAUAUUACCCGGAGGGUAAGCUGGAAGAUACAAUUUUUUCAGGAAACGGUUCAUCUUCAUGGCAAGCUAUAUGUCAUGGACUGGAUUUAUUGAAGAAAGGGCUGCUGUGGAGAGUUGGUGACGGAGCAAGCAUUCGGGUUUGGUGAGAUAAUUGGAUUCCGAGACCCUUCUCUUACAAACCAAUCUCUCCGCAAGGGCGUUGCCGCAUCCGUUUUGUCUCUGGUUUUUUGAAUGCUAAUGGAUCUUGGAAUGUUGAGCUCCUUCGGGACUUUUUUGUGACUGCCGAUGUGAUUGAAAUUUUAAAGAUUCGCGCCUCGCCAAGGAUGGCGGGAGAUGUUAUUGCAUGGGGUCCGGGUCGGCAUGGAAGUUUUUUGGUCAAAUCAGCAUAUGAGUUGGCUUUUAACGAGGACCAUCGAGGUACCAUGUCUUCGUCUAGUGCUUCGCCUUCGGGACGUCGUGCUUGUUGGGAUUUUAUCUGGAAGUGUGAUGCUCCUCCAUCGGUUAAGCACUUCGCUUGGCGUUUGGCAAUUGAUGCACUCCCUACUUGGCAGAAGAAACAUCGUAUUGGGUUGGAAACUACGAGUAUAUGCCCGGUGUGUGGAACAGAAGAGGAGGAUAAUUUUCAUCCGUUCGUUCGCUGCCAGUUGGGACGAGAUCUGUUUGUGGCUAUGUCCAAGGUAUGGAGGCUGCCUGACAUUACAUCUAUAUUGAACAAUGGUAAGGAAUGGUUGUUACAUGUCCUGAGUCCUCUUACCGAACUCGAACGCACAAUGGUAUUAAUGAUCUUUUGGAGAAGUUGGUUUGUUCGGAAUGAGCUCACCCAUGCGAAGCCUGCACCGCCGAUGGAAGCUUCGGUGCGUUUUCUGCAAAGCUAUUUGGAAUCUUUAAUUGGUUUGAAGCAGAACCCAAGAGCUGAUCCAGCCAAAGGGAAGUCAUAUGUUGAGUGGCUACUACCAAAGAAGAGGGAAAGUGCUGCUGCAGUUCAGGAACGAAGAUGGACCAAACCAGACCUAGGGUGGUGCAAGUUAAACACUGAUGGCUCUUUUGUAGCAUCCGGUGAAGCUGGGGCGGGGAUGAUCCUGCGUGACCAUUUGGGUGGCAUCAAUUUCUCGGCUUGCAGGGUUUUGUAUUCCUGCAGGGAUCCCCUAGAGGCGGAGCUGUGCGCGUGUAUGGAAGGCUUGUCCCUGGCAAUACAGAGAUGUGAUGUGCCGAUAGCAUUGGAGCUGGAUUCUCUCGAAGCAGUCACUCUCAUUACGAGUCCGGGGACCGAUCGUUCGGUUUACUCUUCAAUUGUGAGAGAGAUCAAGCACCUUUUGGGUUUAAGGAAAACUUGUAUUUCCCAUAUAUUUAGAUCCCAAAAUAAAGCUAGUGAUAGCUUAGCUAGUUUUGCUAGAACCCAAGGUAGGACCAUGACUUGGUUAGGGGCUGGUCCAGUUGAAGUUGUGGAAAUAGCAUCCAAUGAUUGUAAGGACUUUGUGAUUGAUUAAUACAUUGCUAUUUCACCCGCAAAAAAAGAGAGAUUGAAAUGUAUCACCGACCAUAUCUGGUACACUCACGUCUCUUCCAAACCAAGUUAACCACACAUAACUAGACACAAAACAGAAGUAAGUAAACAACCGCCGGUUCGUCAAAAAGUAAACGAACAACCGAAAUGCAGGUGAUCUGCCUGCUAGGGGCAUCUCCAGCCGUUGGCCUCCCAGGAGGGGCAAAAAAACGCCCCCUGGGGGCGCACCGGCGCUAAACCGCGCACUAGGGGCGUGAUGUCCCCCAGUCGUGGUGCCCACGGUUAGUCAAAAAAGUUAAACACGGCGCAAAAACGAUUCAAAUUUAAUGCAAACAUCGGCGAGUUCAUUCAAACUUAAACAUAUUUUACAAAAAAGAAAAAAAAC